Molecule: transfer RNA, 71 nt
Filed under: Candidatus Nealsonbacteria bacterium CG_4_8_14_3_um_filter_34_13
Lineage: Bacteria; Candidatus Nealsoniibacteriota
Description: tRNA-Gln
Rfam family: tRNA
About the family: Transfer RNA (tRNA) molecules are approximately 80 nucleotides in length.
Source: RNAcentral
UGCCGGGUCGUCUAACGGUAGGACCAUGGAUUCUGGAUCCAUGUAUCUUGGUUCGAAUCCAAGCCCGGCAG